AUAUUGAGUUGCUUCACUUCUGUGGCUUUUUUUUCCCUGGUAACAUAUAUUUAUUUAAGCAAUGUUGUAUGCCUUGUCUUCAUUUCUAUAGAGAUUGUAUUGUAUGUGUUUGUGUAAGCUGGAAUCAUCCUUAAUUUUCUGUUGCUAAUUUUUCAAAUGAAUUUACAUGAAUAACUGUAAAAUACACUAACUCUUAGGGUGUUAUAGCUGAAACACGGAGAUGUGUAGCUGCCAUGCUUUUUCUGAAUGGACAGGAGAAACAUAAGCUACCAAGUAUUCAUUUCUGAGGGUGCUUUGUAGGGAAAGAAAGGCUGGCACUUCCUCAGAACCCUCUGUCUUGUUAACGGGUAUCUUUUGUUGGUGUGUUUUGCUCUUACAUUACAGAUAGAAUAUCGUGUGUGAGCUGAUGAAUAAUUACUUUCAGUUAUUUUGCUUUUGUAUAAGCCAUCUGAGACCUUGCUAUGCUGUAUAAGUUGUGUGACGGAGCAGUGUGAGUAUGAAAUAAAGCAGAUCACUUUCCUUUUGUAUUAUCUAUGGAUGCCACUAUGAACGCUGACAUUAAGCCACUCAAGAGUUUUCUAUGAAUAAGUGUAAGUAAAUGCUUUGAUAUAUAUAAACCUAAAUAAAAGAUUGUAUUGAGACAGAGACAUUGGCAAAGGAAGUUUUAAGGCAGUUCUUUAGGUGUAAAAGGCUUGCUGUAAAAUGGUGCGUUAUUCCACUUAUUAAAGAUCAUAUUAAUGACAACAGUAAGUGUAUUUUUGAUUUCAUGAAAUCUUCAGAAAUUGUUACUGCUAAUAUGAUAUUGUACAGACUUUGCAAUAGAGUCAGCACACACUAUCUCUAACAUGACUCUUAUAACAGUGUGAUACUAAAAAAAAGGUCAACUGAGAUUAGAAUAAUAGCUGCUGCUUCCUAGCUACUACAAUACACCAAACACCAUGUUACUCAUUUUAUACUCAGUUGACAGUUUUUACCACUGCCUUAGAAACGUGUUCUCUGUCUUUUAUAAGGGAAGGAAUAGAAGGUCAGGAAAUUUAAAUACUUUCUCCAAGCCACAGACCUGGUAAGUGUAUAAGAUCCUGGUAAUGUAUUUUAUACUUUGCUUUGAACUACAGCUUUUAAAUUUUGCUUGUGGCAAGGAAAAUUCAUAAACAGAUAAAAUGUGCUCAGUGGUUAUAGUGGCCAAGACCAAAUUAAAGUGACUGAAGGUACCCAAAGCUGUCUGGGCUCACCUCCUGCUCACCUGCUACGAUGUGGAUGUGGUGCCUACGCUGCUGAGUAAUGUUUUUGGUUAGAUCCUUGUGGUUUAGGAGGUUUCUUCUUUCUCCUACAGUGUCUUUCUACGUUGCCCUGCUUUCUGCCUCUGGAGUAGCUGGUUCUGCGAGCUUCUACUACCAUAACAGCUUGAACACUUGCUUAAAAUAGAAUGUGUGUUUCAUCUGUGUAGAUGAAUUCGCUGUGUUGACUAGGUAUCCCACAGUAGAACCCUUUAUCAGUAUUCAGGGCAAGCACAUUCAGGGUGUGCUUUGACCCAGCCACUGCCGGGUGCUGAAGAAACAAACACGGCCUGCUCCCAUAGGCUCUGUUGUCAUCUUAAGUGAUAUUUUAGGGGUCAGAGAGGUAGAGUGUCUUUCUUCCUUUUGACUCUAGUCCGAUACACAUGUUAACAGGUCACUACUGCGGUUCUCUGCAGAGCCUUCUGCAUAGUAUUUAAGAUGACAAAUGCAUUUCCUUAGAGGAAGUGUGAUAACUUGUGAAAAGCAUGUAAUAAUGACCCAUUGCACCUUUUUAAAAGUUUUUCACUUACUUUUAUUUUAUGUGAAUUGGUGUUUUGCUCACAUGUAUGUCUGUAUAAGGGUGUUAGAUCCUCUGGAACUGGAGUUAGAGACAGUUCCCAAAUGGGUGCUGGGCAUAGAACCUGGGUCCUGUGGAAGAGCCCCCAGUGCUCAGAACUGCUGAGCCAUCUCUCAACCCCUACCCCCUCGAACCUUUUAAUGACUUACCAAAAGUAAAAUUAUUUUCAUUUAUUCCUAUCUGGUCUGUCUCCCAAGUUUAUAUUCCUCUCUGCAAAGAGCUACCUUCAGCCAGUGAUUAAUCUUUGUUCUAUAAUGGUUUUUUUAGAUUAAAGACCAAAUCUUACAUGC
Molecule: long non-coding RNA, 2144 nt
Filed under: Mus musculus (house mouse)
Lineage: Eukaryota; Metazoa; Chordata; Mammalia; Rodentia; Muridae
Description: long non-coding RNA chr1:59876870-59879014
Source: RNAcentral